AUACUUACCUGGCAUGGGAGAUACUAUGAUCAUAAAGGUGGUUUUCGCAGGGUGAAGCUUAUCCAUUGCACUCCGGUAAUGUUGAUGUAAUUUCCCCUGUAAUUUCCCCAUAUGUGGGAAAUUUGACUGCAUAAUCUGCAGUAGCGGAGGCCUGUGUUAGUGCUUUCCCCUG
This is a small nuclear RNA of Hippopotamus amphibius kiboko, 172 nucleotides long. RefSeq annotates it as U1 spliceosomal RNA. The transcript has a single exon. The record is from RefSeq and is a predicted model, not a curated record. Lineage: Eukaryota; Metazoa; Chordata; Mammalia; Artiodactyla; Hippopotamidae.